This 672-nucleotide ribosomal RNA is filed under the name Cortinarius hinnuleus. Its description in RNAcentral is "eukaryotic LSU rRNA". It matches the Rfam family "Eukaryotic large subunit ribosomal RNA", at positions 1 to 653 of the family's 3401-position model. Lineage: Eukaryota; Fungi; Basidiomycota; Agaricomycetes; Agaricales; Cortinariaceae. The record is from RNAcentral.
GUGACCUCAAAUCAGGUAGGACUACCCGCUGAACUUAAGCAUAUCAAUAAGCGGAGGAAAAGAAACUAACAAGGAUUCCCCUAGUAACUGCGAGUGAAGCGGGAAAAGCUCAAAUUUAAAAUCUGGCGGUCUUUUGGCUGUCCGAGUUGUAAUCUAGAGAAGUGUUAUCCGCGCUGGACCGUGUACAAGUCUCCUGGAAUGGAGCAUCAUAGAGGGUGAGAAUCCCGUCUUUGACAUGGACUGCCAGGGCUUUGUGAUGCGCUCUCAAAGAGUCGAGUUGUUUGGGAAUGCAGCUCAAAAUGGGUGGUAAAUUCCAUCUAAAGCUAAAUAUUGGCGAGAGACCGAUAGCGAACAAGUACCGUGAGGGAAAGAUGAAAAGAACUUUGGAAAGAGAGUUAAACAGUACGUGAAAUUGCUGAAAGGGAAACGCUUGAAGUCAGUCACGUUGUCCAGGGAUCAACCUUGCUUUUGCUUGGUGCACUUUCUGGUUCGACGGGUCAGCAUCAAUUUCGAUCGUUGGAAAAAGGCCAAGGGAAUGUGGCAUCUUUGGAUGUGUUAUAGCCCUUUGUCACAUACAAUGGUUGGGAUUGAGGAACUCAGCACGCCGCAAGGCCGGGUUUUAAACCACGUACGUGCUUAGGAUGCUGGCAAUAUGGCUUUAAUCGACCCGUC